GCUCCUCCCUCUCCCUUCCACUCUGCGCUGGGGAGGGGGCCCGGGGAAGACGUGGCUUCAGCCUUACCCCGGAGGAUGAGAGGGCUUGGGCUGGGUGGAGGCGGAUGAGGGGAAGCACGGAGAUGCUCCUUCCCUCUCACUGGGGAUGCAGCAGCAGGUGGCGGCGACGUGGCCCGUGGAGGCCUGGCGCCCACAGGCGCGGAGAUGGACCCGGUCCAGGCAGGAGCGCGGUGAAGGUGGCUGUGGGCGCGUGGAUGUGUAAGACACGCUCCCACCCACGUGGUGUACAGGGGGACCUGAGGACGCGGGUGAAGGAGAAGCCACCUCCUUCCUCUGGUCUCCCUCCCUCCUUCCUGGACAUUUUGCUCCUGCGUUGUCUCUUCAUCAUGGAAGCAAAGGUCGCUAGACUCCCUGCUCUGAGCUCCUCCUACCUUCUCCAGAACUGGAGGAUGGCCAGGUGGUUGGGGGGCAGCUGUGUCCUCGUGAUCAAACCAACCCCCCCCCACGCCCCCGUGGCAGCGCCUCCCCGCGCCACCCCUUUGUCCGGUUGCCCACCUUGGGGACCCUAUCACCUGCCUUGGGCGCCUUCCUGUUUCUGGAUUUGGGACUUCUCAGACCGGGGUUCAAAUCUGGGCCCCUCCAGUUUCCUGCAGUAUGUUCCCUAAGGUACCCAUCUCCAGUAAAAUGGAGUGUUUGUCCCCUAAAGCUUGUGGCUAAGUCCUAGUACAUAAGGUGCUCUAUCAGUGUGAAUGUGUACUUGCUAUAAGGUGUGCAGCCUGUCUCCUGCUCCUCUGAGACCUCACCAAUAGACACCCCAAAGCCCAGGAAAGUGGGGAAAGGGUCGUGAAAUGCCCUCGUAGCAGACAGGGAACAUUGCUUUUCAAGAUGAGGGAGGUGACUUGCUGGAGUCCACUGGGUGCCUCAAAGCAGAGCUGGGCCCAGAACCCAGGCACCCUGGUUCCCAGGCUCCCACACCCCACUGUGGCCCCCUCUUCCACAGCUGGGUGCAGGGAGUCUCGCUUCCCCACUCCUCAGAGGCCCUCCCAUUCUUGCUACAGGAUAGGAACCACCUGCUGCCUCACCCACAGGACCCAGCCCACGCCCCUUCCUGAUGCUUCUGCCCUCUUCCUCUCUGGAAUGGUGUAGGGAGGAGAGGCAGAAGACGAAGACGGACCCUGCAGAGGGGGGAUCCUGCCUGCCCAGGAAUGCCCCUCACUCUCCACAGGGCGGAUCCCCUCCCUAAGGGGCUUUGAGCAACAUCAGGGCCUGAGCUGGUUUUGUUGGCCCAGUUUCAGGAUACUUCCUCUUAUUAUGAUGAUGAUGAUGAUGGAGAUGUCAAUAACUCUCGUAGAAAAACCCUGCAAACCCACCCAAACAGAAACCUGUAUCUUAAGACACAGUGGCCCAAAGGCAGCACUUUACUGGGAAAAAUACUUCGCGUCCCAGCCCAUAUGCAACAGUUGAGAUGCAGCAUUUCCCAGUGAACUUGGGGGAAACACCUCUAAAUUUCCCCACCAGUUUUUAUGAUUGGCAGCAGGUCCACAGAAACUCCAGAAGACCUGUUUCCUGGGGCUGUAUUGGCAGCCGACCCUUUUUCAGCCCAGACUUCCCAAAACGCAGACAUCUAACUUGGUCAGGGAACCCAGUGCCUACAGCAAAGGAAAGCUCCGAGCUUGUAAUCCAUGCAUAACCAGUAUCUGGGCCCCACUAUUCCAGGAAACAGGGCAGCCUCUGGGGAAACAUGAGUUGAUGGCACAGGCAUCUCAUUCAUGGUUCACAAAGAUUUGAAGAAUGUUGGCCUGUGCUGUAGCCAAAGCCAGCAUGUUCACCUUUACAGUGUGUGUAUGGGGCCGGACAGGAAGCCGCAGGGUGCCCAUUUCCAGUGGAGGAGCAUCUCCCCAAGUUUCUAAGGAGCAUUCACUCAAGUCAGGCACCGUGCUGGGCACAGGGAUGCAAAGAUGGAUUUGAUAAGCCCUCUGUCCUCUGGGUCCUCCUGCAUUUAUAGAGGGCCUAGCCCAGGCCAGGUACUCCAGUUACUAAGGGCUUCAUCUGCGGGAGCUUGUUUUAACGUCACCAAAGCCUGUAAGGUAGGUCCAUUGUCCCUUCUUAGAGGGAAGCUCAGAAAGGUUAUGUAACUUCCCUAAAGUCACCCAUCUGGCAAAUGAUGGACUGGAGAGUUACAGCCUGGUCUCCCUGCCUCCAAAUCCAUGUUGCUAGCCAUGACCCUAUUUCAUCUGCCAGGUUAAGAGAAAAUUGAGACAAUAAUAAUACGGAAAAUACCUAAUGACCUUUAGGAUUACAAAUGAGAUGUAUGCAUUCCCAGGAGGGUUCCUGGAACAGAGUGAGCUCUCAAUGAUAGAGCCAUUAUUAUCAUCACUAGAUACUCAAUUUUGUUUUGAACUGAUAAGCUCUACCUUAUAGGCAUUACCAAGUGCUACUCUUGGAAGCAUAAGGAAAGCGACUACAUCUGUCUGCAGGGACUGCAGCUGGCUACACAGAGGAGAUGGCAUUUGAGUUGGGUCUCCAGGCAUGAGUAGGUGUUGGGUAGUUGGAGAAGCAGAAGCAAGAGCAGGCAGAUCAGGAGGAAAACGUAGGGGAAAUGCACAGAGCUGUGAACAAGCACUCAUUUGGGUAGAAGCUGAGAGAGACUCGUGAUAGGAAAGCAAGAUGGUGGACAGGAGCUGGGGGAGGCCACUGCCUCUGUUAGUGCUGGUCCCCUCCCUGAGGCAUCUGCUGAGCCAGGCCUAUGUGGAGGGGAGUGGGGAGACACAGGGGGACAGAGAGCUGGAAGAGAGGACCCAGCCUCCAGGCAGCCACCCAGGCAGAGACUUUCUGGCCAUGCUUGACUGGAGAACCUUCCAUCACUUGCAGGGGCAAGGGGUCAUGAUCCCUGCCAACCUCAGCACUUUGCAGGGCCACUGAGAGGGACAUAGGCUAUCCUCCGGGUCACUGUGUGGGAGAGAGGUCUUGGCAACCUGUAAUGGGUGCAUUACGAGGCAUGGCUAGUUCGCUCAUUCUCAGGUUUUCUCCACAACUCAUUCAUUCAUUUAAUAAAUGUUUGUUGAGCCCUGUGAUGUACCCAGCACUCUGAUGGCUGUCAGCAGUCGGCAGUGAACACACCACAGCCCCUGCCCUCCCAUCACUCACCAUCUAGUAGAGGAGAGAGACCAGUCAGCAGGAUGGUGUGGCAAGGGCUGGCAUCAGUGCUGUGGUGUCUGCAGGCCGUGUGGUUGCACAAAAGAGAGGCCCCUCUCCAGGUUUAGGCGGUUGAUGAAGACUUCCUGGUGGAUAAGCUUUCUAAGAUGAGUGGGAGGCAGCCAGAUGGAAGGGAAUUGGGGGCGGGGGGGAGGAGGGGAGAAGGUUCCAUGUGCAGGGGUAGUGCUUGCAAGAACCCAGAGGUGAAUUGUGGGGAACUUCAAGUCCUAAAAAAUAUAACCCAUUGAGAAAAGCCCAACCUAGCUGUAACUUUCAGAGAACAACUCUGUGUAGUUCGGCCAGAUAAGUGUAUGAUGUCGGGGUGGGGAGGGGGGUCCUGGAGGGAGGAAGGAAAGAAUUCUUUAGAAAUAGUUCAGGAAAAGUUUGAAGUAUUUUUAAAAAAUACUUCAAAUCAGCUUGAAGUAUCCUUUUAAAAGUCAGUAUCUCUAUUUGCUAAUGACUUCCCCCGUUUUUUUUACAGUGUUUUGCAGUUUUCCAAGCCUUUGGCACCCCAUAUUUCACUGGCCCUUGUCACAUACAUGAGAGUUUGGUCGGGAUGAUUCCUCAGCCUCAAAGCUGAUAGCUGGCAGACCCCACGACUUGAACCUGGGGCUUCCUCCUGGGUCGUCUCGUCCUGAUAAGUCUGGAUAAUUUUGUAUGGCUCUUUAUGGUUUGCCAAGGACGUCCGCCUCCCUGAGUCCACUUCUCCUGACUGUGUCAGCAUCUCCAGCUUCAAAGAAAGAAAAUGCCAGGCCAGGAAGGGGCAACACCUACCCGGCAGAGCCUCUGGUCUGCAGGGGGCCUGGAGGGUGGCUCAUGGGGCUCAUCCAGACAGGCUGGGCCUCCGGGGUGAGCAGCAGUUUGAACCAGGUGUGUUCGUGCUAACAGGACGGCCCAGGUAAGGAGAGGGCUUGUGUGGGGGUGACAUAAAGGACAGGUAAAAGGAAGAGGACUCAAACACUGCUUUCUGUGGGAAAGGGGGCUUUAGGGUCUGAAAUCUUCCUUUGUGACACCCAUAUUAAAGUGGUUAUCAGAAUAAAAUGACCCAACCAACCAAGCUCAGGAAGCAGGAAGAGACUUGGACUCAAGACAACUGAGGAGAGAUGAGAAAAGAAAACAGGUCCCUGAAAGAGGGGGUCAUCAACUUCAAACAUCUGGAGGGUUUUCUGACAGGAGAGGGUUUGACAAGCUUUGAUGUGUGGCCCCAAAGGGUAAACUAGGCCACCAGGGAGACGGUGGUUUUCUUCAGGAUUUGGAAGAGUGACACUUAGAGCAAUGAUUGGUGAAUUACAAUUCAUGGGCCAAAUCUGGCCCGCUGACUACUUCUGUAAAUAAAGUUUUGUUGGACCACAGGC
This 4550-nucleotide long non-coding RNA is filed under the name Equus caballus (horse). RNAcentral's name for it is "lncRNA (ENSECAG00000052052.1)". Lineage: Eukaryota; Metazoa; Chordata; Mammalia; Perissodactyla; Equidae. The record is from RNAcentral.